RNAcentral lists this ribosomal RNA (473 nucleotides) under uncultured organism. RNAcentral's name for it is "partial 16S ribosomal RNA". It matches the Rfam family "Bacterial small subunit ribosomal RNA", at positions 332 to 801 of the family's 1533-position model. The record is from RNAcentral.
UACACUCCUACGGGAGGCAGCAGUGAGGAAUAUUGGACAAUGGGUGGAAGCCUGAUCCAGCCAUCCCGCGUGCAGGAAGACGGCCCUAUGGGUUGUAAACUGCUUUUAUCUGGGGAUAAACCUACUUACGUGUAAGUAGCUGAAGGUACCAGAAGAAUAAGCACCGGCUAACUCCGUGCCAGCAGCCGCGGUAAUACGGAGGGUGCAAGCGUUAUCCGGAUUUAUUGGGUUUAAAGGGUCCGUAGGUGGACUGAUAAGUCAGUGGUGAAAUCCGACAGCUUAACUGUCGAACUGCCAUUGAUACUGUUAGUCUUGAGUAAGGUUGAAGUGGCUGGAAUAAGUAGUGUAGCGGUGAAAUGCAUAGAUAUUACUUAGAACACCAAUUGCGAAGGCAGGUCACUAAGUCUUAACUGACGCUGAUGGACGAAAGCGUGGGGAGCGAACAGGAUUAGAAACCCCUGUAGUCCCAUGAU